Molecule: long non-coding RNA, 1713 nt
Organism: Salmo trutta (river trout)
Lineage: Eukaryota; Metazoa; Chordata; Actinopteri; Salmoniformes; Salmonidae
Source: Ensembl
AUGACCACUAGUUCCAUGACCACUAGUUCCAUGACCACUAGUUCCAUGACCACUAGUUCCAUGACCACUAGUUCCAUGACCACUAGUUCCAUGACCAUUAGUUCCAUGACCACUAGUUCCAUGACCAUUAGUUCCAUGACCACUAGUUCCAUGACCACUAGUUCCAUGACCAUUAGUUCCAUGACCAUUAGUUCCAUGACCACUAGUUCCAUGACCACUAGUUCCAUGACCAUUAGUUCCAUGACCACUAGUUCCAUGACCACUAGUUCCAUGACCACUAGUUCCAUGACCACUAGUUCCAUGACCACUAGUUCCAUGACCAUUAGUUCCAUGACCACUAGUUCCAUGACCACUAGUUCCAUGACCACUAGUUCCAUGACCACUAGUUCCAUGACCAUUAGUUCCAUGACCAUUAGUUCCAUGACCACUAGUUCCAUGACCACUAGUUCCAUGACCACUAGUUCCAUGACCAUUAGUUCCAUGACCAUUAGUUCCAUGACCACUAGUUCCAUAACCAUUAGUUCCAUGACCACUAGUUCCAUGACCAUUAGUUCCAUGACCACUAGUUCCAUGACCACUAGUUCCAUGACCACUAGUUCCAUGACCAUUAGUUCCAUGACCACUAGUUCCAUGACCACUAGUUCCAUGACCAUUAGUUCCAUGACCACUAGUUCAAUGACCAUUAGUUCCAUGACCACUAGUUCCAUGACCACUAGUUCCAUGACCACUAGUUCCAUGACCACUAGUUCCAUGACCACUAGUUCCAUGACCACUAGUUCCAUGACCACUAGUUCCAUGACCAUUAGUUCCAUGACCACUAGUUCCAUGACCACUAGUUCCAUGACCACUAGUUCCAUGACCACUAGUUCCAUGACCACUAGUUCCAUGACCAUUAGUUCCAUGACCAUUAGUUCCAUGACCACUAGUUCCAUGACCACUAGUUCCAUGACCACUAGUUCCAUGGCCACUAGUUCCAUGACCAUUAGUUCAAUGACCAUUAGUUCCAUGACCACUAGUUCCAUGACCACUAGUUCCAUGACCAUUAGUUCCAUGACCAUUAGUUCCAUGACCACUAGUUCCAUGACCAUUAGUUCCAUGACCACUAGUUCCAUGACCAUUAGUUCCAUGACCACUAGUUCCAUGACCACUAGUUCCAUGACCAUUAGUUCCAUGACCAUUAGUUCCAUGACCACUAGUUCCAUGACCACUAGUUCCAUGACCAUUAGUUCCAUGACCACUAGUUCCAUGACCACUAGUUCCAUGACCAUUAGUUCCAUGACCACUAGUUCAAUGACCAUUAGUUCCAUGACCACUAGUUCCAUGACCACUAGUUCCAUGACCACUAGUUCCAUGACCAUUAGUUCAAUGACCACUAGUUCCAUGACCACUAGUUCCAUGACCACUAGUUCCAUGACCAUUAGUUCCAUGACCACUAGUUCCAUGACCACUAGUUCCAUGACCAUUAGUUCCAUGACCAUUAGUUCCAUGACCAUUAGUUCCAUGACCACUAGUUCCAUGACCACUAGUUCCAUGACCACUAGUUCCAUGACCACUAGUUCCAUGACCAUUAGUUCCAUGACCACUAGUUCCAUGACCACUAGUUCCAUGGCCACUAGUUCCAUGACCAUUAGUUCAAUGACCAUUAGUUCCAUGACCACUAGUUCCAUGACCAUUAGUUCAAUGACCAUUAGUUCCAUGUAUCUUCUGUUGUAG